Long non-coding RNA from Amphiprion ocellaris (clown anemonefish), 499 nucleotides. The record is from Ensembl. NCBI's taxonomy places the organism in Eukaryota, Metazoa, Chordata, Actinopteri, Pomacentridae.
GCUUAGAGGGGCUGGACACUGGAUCCCAGUCAGACACAGCGACAGCCAACAGAAGGGAAACAUGGCCUCCGCUUAUGGCAGUUCAUCACCAAAUGAUUCGCUGCAUUUAUUCAAAGAUCUCCUGCUCGUGUCGUGGAUCUUCACGGACCCUCAGACAUCCAGCUGGUAGCGCCUGAACCAACCAUGUGGAGGGAAAAACAUCCACCUGCUACUGUCUGCACCCUCGUCACCACGUCUGUCCACUGGGAGGACGGAGAGUUGGAUGUUUUGGAGCAGCUCCGUCUGAACGCUGCCAGGUCCGGCUGCCUGGACGGGUGGAGGCUGGAGGACAGAAAUAACCUCUUGGGUUGGGCUCUGCUGCGUUCCUCGAACGCUGACGACACCACAUAGUUUCACUGAGCGGGAAGUGACAUGUUGGAGAUUCCUCAGAGGAAGUGUGUGUGAUGCAGGUUUAACUGUAUCUGUGAGGAGAUCACUAUUCCUGGUGGUUUUAGGGGGG